RNAcentral lists this transfer RNA (76 nucleotides) under Negativicoccus succinicivorans. RNAcentral's name for it is "tRNA-Asn". It matches the Rfam family "tRNA". From Rfam's summary of the family: Transfer RNA (tRNA) molecules are approximately 80 nucleotides in length. Their secondary structure includes four short double-helical elements and three loops (D, anti-codon, and T loops). Lineage: Bacteria; Bacillati; Bacillota; Negativicutes; Veillonellales; Veillonellaceae. The record is from RNAcentral.
UCCCUGAUAGCGCAGUUGGUAGAGCAAUCGGCUGUUAACCGAUCGGUCGUAGGUUCGAGUCCUACUCAGGGAGCCA